Molecule: RNA transcript, 1594 nt
Organism: Panicum hallii
Lineage: Eukaryota; Viridiplantae; Streptophyta; Magnoliopsida; Poales; Poaceae
Gene name: acyl-coenzyme A thioesterase 13-like
Exons: 4
Source: RefSeq, a predicted model, not a curated record
AGCAACCUGGUGGACUGGUGGUGAACUGAUGACAGACAGUAGUAGUACCAGCAGGCGUCGAAUCCACGGCGGUAGGGGAGAGGGAAGAGUAGCCUGUACUGAAUACUGAUGGCUGGUGAGUCAUGAGUAGCGUAGUGAGAAGCUCAGCUGCUGGUAGAGCAGAGCAUGAAGCUGAAGCUGCAACUCAAGAGUCAGCUUCUCAGAGUUUCAGAAAGCCGCCCACGCGAUGGCGGUGGCACUACUGACACGACGGAGUAUUAAAAAGGGAAGCUCGGCGAGGCAGACAGCGCUGACGCUGAGCAAGCCCCGUCCAGUCAAACUAGGCAGAGGCAGGUAGCCUCGUCGUGCCGUCAGAGCCCACCGCCACCGAUCCCCACCAUGGGCUCCGACGCAUGGAUGGCGGACGCCGCCCGCAGAUGGCUGGAGGACGCCGGCGCCACGGUGGAGGGCGGCCCCGACCGGGCCUUCAACGCGCUGCCGCUCUCCGGCGUGCGCGUGUCCCUCGCCGAGCGGGGCCGCGCCGUCUGCUCGCUCCGCGUGCCGGCGCACCUCACCGACGCGGAGGGGAACUGGCACACGGGCGCUAUCGCCGCGGCGACGGACGACGUCUGCGCCGCCGCCAUCAUGUCCGUCGAGGGUAUCAUCAAGGUCUCCGUCCACUACGACAUCUCCUACUUCGCACCGGCCAAGCUCCAUGAGGAAGUUGAGAUGGACGGCAGGGUGGUGGAGCAAAAAGGGAGGAUGACGGCGGUGACGGUGGAGAUCCGGAAGAAGGAGUCCGGCGAGCUGGUGGCGAUCGGGAGGCAGUGGAUGACAGCGUCCAGGCCUAGAGGGUCUCGGAGCAAGAUCUGACGCCUCAUCUAUCAUCUCUGCCUGACCCUGAAACGGGUGUUGAGUUACUAAACUAGCAGCUGUGAGCUCGGCUCAAGGAAACUGCCGGGAAUUUGCCGCGCUCUGGUUUUCACACUCUGAAAAGUGAAAACGGGAUAAAUGACCGGCUUAUUAUGCAGAGUGCGACACCGAUGUCGAACUUGUCCGCGUCGCCGACGGCGUGGAAGGCGUCGAGGACGGCGCCCAGGGACGACUUCUCUGGUGACGCAGCUCUCCGGCAGUGGCGGUCCUCCCAGAUGCACCGGAGCAGGAUGCGCAUGGCGGCCAGCCUCUCGUCCACCUGCUCGGCUUCCAGGCUCGCGGCGACUCUCCGUAUGAACCUCUCUGACAGCAGCGCGGAGCUCGGCACCGGCGACAUGGAGCUGCCCGUGCCGCCGUCGACGAGGAUCUGACUGAGGAGGAUCACCGCAGCAGGGAGCACGAGUGGCGAAGGUGCGGGGAACAGGGGCACCGGCUAGGCAGAGAAUCUCGACGGGGGAUCCCGGAAUGGAUGACCCUGGGGCCAGCGGAGGUCGCCGGAGACGAGCCCGCUGCUCCGGCGGCAGCCCAAGGAUAUUUACAAAAUACCCCCUCCAAACCAGGGGCUUUAUGCAAAUACCUGAUCGAAUAUGUUUCGGAAACCCCCCUGAUUCGGAUCGCGAUUAGUAGUCGCGAUCCAAAUUAGGGGUCCGUUUGUAAAUUUUGCAAUAUGUAUUUUCGGCUA